Molecule: ribosomal RNA, 492 nt
Filed under: uncultured bacterium
Lineage: Bacteria
Description: partial 16S ribosomal RNA
Rfam family: Bacterial small subunit ribosomal RNA
Source: RNAcentral
AGUGAACGCUGGCGGUAGGCCUAACACAUGCAAGUCGAACGGCAGCACAGUAAGAGCUUGCUCUUACGGGUGGCGAGUGGCGGACGGGUGAGGAAUACAUCGGAAUCUACUUUUUCGUGGGGGAUAACGUAGGGAAACUUACGCUAAUACCGCAUACGACCUACGGGUGAAAGCAGGGGAUCUUCGGACCUUGCGCGAUUGAAUGAGCCGAUGUCGGAUUAGCUAGUUGGCGGGGUAUAGGCCCACCAAGGCGACGAUCCGUAGCUGGUCUGAGAGGAUGAUCAGCCACACUGGAACUGAGACACGGUCCAGACUCCUACGGGAGGCAGCAGUGGGGAAUAUUGGACAAUGGGCGCAAGCCUGAUCCAGCCAUACCGCGUGGGUGAAGAAGGCCUUCGGGUUGUAAAGCCCUUUUGUCGGGAAAGAAAAGCAGCAGGUUAAUACCCCGCUGUUCUGACGGUACCCAAAGAAUAAGCACCGGCUAACUUCGUG